RNAcentral lists this transfer RNA (72 nucleotides) under Camelus bactrianus (Bactrian camel). It matches the Rfam family "tRNA". Rfam says of the family: Transfer RNA (tRNA) molecules are approximately 80 nucleotides in length. Their secondary structure includes four short double-helical elements and three loops (D, anti-codon, and T loops). Further hydrogen bonds mediate the characteristic L-shaped molecular structure. tRNAs have two regions of fundamental functional importance: the anti-codon, which is responsible for specific mRNA codon recognition, and the 3' end, to which the tRNAs corresponding amino acid is attached (by aminoacyl-tRNA synthetases). tRNAs cope with the degeneracy of the genetic code in two manners: having more than one tRNA (with a specific anti-codon) for a particular amino acid; and 'wobble' base-pairing, i.e. permitting non-standard base-pairing at the 3rd anti-codon position. Lineage: Eukaryota; Metazoa; Chordata; Mammalia; Artiodactyla; Camelidae. The record is from Rfam by way of RNAcentral. RNAcentral also lists the same sequence under 2 other names.
GAUGGUAUAGCUCAGUGGUAGAGCAUCUGCUUAGCAAGCAUGAGUUCCUGGAUUAGAUCCCCAGUACUUCUG